This 482-nucleotide ribosomal RNA is filed under the name uncultured bacterium. Its description in RNAcentral is "bacterial SSU rRNA". It matches the Rfam family "Bacterial small subunit ribosomal RNA", at positions 110 to 580 of the family's 1533-position model. The record is from RNAcentral.
GUAACACGUAGGUAACCUGCCCAUGUGCCCGGGAUAACUUCUGGAAACGGAUGCUAAAACCGGGUAGGUAGCAGACAAGCAUUUGACUGCUAUUAAAGUGGCUUUGGCCAUGAACAUGGAUGGACCUGCGGUGCAUUAGCUGGUUGGUGAGGUAACGGCCCACCAAGGCGACGAUGCAUAGCCGGCCUGAGAGGGCGGACGGCCACAUUGGGACUGAGACACGGCCCAAACUCCUACGGGAGGCAGCAGUAGGGAAUUUUCGUCAAUGGGGGGAACCCUGAACGAGCAAUGCCGCGUGAGUGAGGAAGGUCUUCGGAUCGUAAAGCUCUGUUGUAAGAGAAAAACGGCACUCAUAGGGAAUGAUGAGUGAGUGAUGGUAUCUUACCAGAAAGUCACGGCUAACUACGUGCCAGCAGCCGCGGUAAUACGUAGGUGGCGAGCGUUAUCCGGAAUGAUUGGGCGUAAAGGGUGCGUAGGUGGCA